This 345-nucleotide unclassified non-coding RNA is filed under the name soil metagenome. RNAcentral describes it as "partial contains 5.8S ribosomal RNA, internal transcribed spacer 2, and large subunit ribosomal RNA". The stretch from base 1 to 120 matches the Rfam family "5.8S ribosomal RNA", at positions 35 to 154 of the family's 154-position model. The record is from RNAcentral.
GAUGAAGAACGUAGCGAAAUGCGAUACGUAAUGUGAAUUGCAGAAUUCAGUGAAUCAUCGAGUCUUUGAACGCACAUUGCGCCCCCUGGUAUUCCGGGGGGCAUGCCUGUCCGAGCGUCAUUGCUGCCCUCAAGCACGGCUUGUGUGUUGGGCCUCCGUCCUCCUCCCGGGGGACGGGCCCGAAAGGCAGCGGCGGCACCGCGUCCGGUCCUCGAGCGUAUGGGGCUUCGUCACCCGCUCUUGUAGGCCCGGCCGGCGCUUGCCGACACAUCAAUCUUUUUUCCAGGUUGACCUCGGAUCAGUUAGGGAUACCCGCUGAACUUAAGCAUAUCAAUAAGCGGAGGA